Molecule: ribosomal RNA, 248 nt
Filed under: uncultured bacterium
Lineage: Bacteria
Description: partial 16S ribosomal RNA
Rfam family: Bacterial small subunit ribosomal RNA
Source: RNAcentral
CGUAAAGCGCAUGCAGGCGGCCUGUUAAGUCAGAUGUGAAAGGACCCGGGGACCGUUAACCUACGGUAAGUUGCUAUUUAGUAAACUGGCGAGGCUAGAGUCUUGUAGAGGGGGGUAGGAAUUUCAGGUGUAGCGGUGAAAUGCGUAGAGAUCUGAAGGAAUACCAGUGGCGAAGGCGGCCCCCUGGACAAAGACUGACGCUCAGAUGCGAAAGCGUGGGGAGCAAACAGGAUUAGAUACCCUGGUAG